Non-coding RNA from Schistosoma mattheei, 46 nucleotides. The record is from Rfam. NCBI's taxonomy places the organism in Eukaryota, Metazoa, Platyhelminthes, Trematoda, Strigeidida, Schistosomatidae.
GCACUGCUGAGGAGUCCCACAACAGGACGAAACGACCUUCCAGUAC